Molecule: long non-coding RNA, 479 nt
Organism: Hevea brasiliensis (rubber tree)
Lineage: Eukaryota; Viridiplantae; Streptophyta; Magnoliopsida; Malpighiales; Euphorbiaceae
Exons: 2
Source: RefSeq, a predicted model, not a curated record
GAUAACUGUUAAAGUGCCAUGAUGUUGUUGUGGUAAUUUGGAGCAGUGUGCGUGCGUUGGCGUGUGUGUGAUGUGGUGUGGACUAUGGAUAGGACGGGUAGUCACGGCUUGAGUUCUUCGCUGGGACCCGAUCCUUCGAGGGGUAGUCACGGCUUGAGUUCUUCGCUGGGACCCUCGAUUUGGUUAUUAAGUGGAAGUCCGAGCUGAGUUCUUCGCUGGCACCAGGUUGGAUUUAAGAGAGCUGUAUAGGGAAUCAGCUCCCAUAUAUUAUGAUUGAUGUUACAGGGCCACAGGAGGAGUUAUUUUACAGAGCAACCUGUUUUCUUUCUCGCAGGUUUAACGUCAAUUAUUUAAUUGUUUUACUAUCUUUUCUAAAUUUAAAAGUCUAGAACUCCGCAUGUGAUAGAAAUAGUGUGGACCUUGGUAGAGGUUGUGUUAAUUUAAAUUUUUAAGAUUAAUAAAUGAAGAUUUGUAUGGUA